AGGACAACGCUGGCGGCGUGCCUAACACAUGCAAGUCGAGCGGAGAUAUAUGGAAGGUUUACCGGAAAUAUAUCUUAGCGGCAGACGGGUGAGUAACGCGUGGGCAACCUGCCUCAUACAGGGGGAUAACACAGGGAAACUUGUGCUAAUACCGCAUGAAAUCAUAGUAUGGCAUCAUACAAUGAUCAAAGGAGCAAUCCGGUAUGAGAUGGGCCCGCGUCCGAUUAGCUAGUUGGUGAGGUAACGGCUCACCAAGGCGACGAUCGGUAGCCGAACUGAGAGGUUGAUCGGCCACAUUGGGACUGAGACACGGCCCAGACUCCUACGGGAGGCAGCAGUGGGGAAUAUUGCGCAAUGGGGGAAACCCUGACGCAGCAACGCCGCGUGAAGGAAGAAGGCCUUCGGGUUGUAAACUUCUUUGAUAGGGGACGAUAAUGACGGUACCCUAAAAACAAGCCACGGCUAACUACGUG
This 473-nucleotide ribosomal RNA is filed under the name uncultured bacterium. RNAcentral's name for it is "bacterial SSU rRNA". It matches the Rfam family "Bacterial small subunit ribosomal RNA", at positions 32 to 507 of the family's 1533-position model. The record is from RNAcentral.